CGUCUAGUAGACCCAGAUGAACCUAUCUUGGCCAAUCCUUUACAUGAGGCAGACCCUUUGGCUCAACAAGCUCAACCUGCCCCUGACCAACAAGAGCCAGUUCAACCAGACCCCGAACCAUAACAAUCUGUGUCUAACCACUCCUCGGUUAGAUCACCCCAUCCUCGGGUUGAAACUUCUGAACCACACCUUGGAGCCUCUGAACCUCAUGUUCA
RNAcentral lists this long non-coding RNA (215 nucleotides) under Lotus japonicus. Its description in RNAcentral is "long non-coding RNA (LJAP_LNC002184)". The record is from RNAcentral. Lineage: Eukaryota; Viridiplantae; Streptophyta; Magnoliopsida; Fabales; Fabaceae.